UGGGGAAUAUUGCACAAUGGGGGAAACCCUGAUGCAGCGACGCCGCGUGAGCGAAGAAGGUUUUCGAAUCGUAAAGCUCUGUCCUAUGAGAAGAUAAUGACGGUAUCAUAGGAGGAAGCCCCGGCUAAAUACGUGCCAGCAGCCGCGGUAAUACGUAUGGGGCGAGCGUUGUCCGGAAUUAUUGGGCGUAAAGGGUACGUAGGCGGUCUAUUAAGUCAGGUGUGAAAGCGUGAGGCUUAACCUCAUUAAGCACUUGAAACUGUUAGACUUGAGUGAAGGAGAGGAAGGUGGAAUUCCUAGUGUAGCGGUGAAAUGCGUAGAUAUUAGGAGGAAUACCGGUGGCGAAGGCGACUUUCUGGACUUUUACUGACGCUCAGGUACGAAAGCGUGGGGAGCAAACAGG
Molecule: ribosomal RNA, 403 nt
Filed under: Verrucomicrobiota bacterium
Lineage: Bacteria; Pseudomonadati; Verrucomicrobiota
Description: Verrucomicrobia bacterium partial 16S ribosomal RNA
Rfam family: Bacterial small subunit ribosomal RNA
Source: RNAcentral